This 269-nucleotide ribosomal RNA is filed under the name uncultured prokaryote. Its description in RNAcentral is "partial 16S ribosomal RNA". It matches the Rfam family "Bacterial small subunit ribosomal RNA", at positions 524 to 792 of the family's 1533-position model. The record is from RNAcentral.
CACGGGGGGAGCAAGCGUUGUUCGGAAUCACUGGGCGUAAAGGGUACGCAGGCGGGAAGGCAGGUCAGAUGUGAAACCCCAUGGCUCAACCGUGGGCCUGCAUAUGAAACCACCUUUCUUGAGUAUCGGAGAGGAAAGCGGAACUCCUGGUGUAGCGGUGAAAUGCGUAGAUAUCAGGAGGAACACCCGUGGCGAAGGCGGCUUUCUGGCCGAAUACUGACGCUCAUGUACGAAGGCCGGGGGAGCAAACAGGAUUAGAUACCCCUGUA